GUUGAUCCUACGUGAGAUUUCCGCUAGAGGGAUUGGAUUUAGGCAUGUAAGUGUGUUCGGGCUUGCCCGGACCGCGGAAGGCUGAGUAACACGUCAUUAACCUGCCUUAUGGUCUCUAAUAAUCUCGGGAAACUGAGUGUAAAGGAGGUAUUAAUUUCAAACUGGAAUGUUGAAAUUUUGAACAUAAGAUGGGAUGGCGGUCGAUUAGGUAGUUGGUGAGGUAAUGGCUCACCAAGCCUUUGAUCGGUAGGGGUCGUGAGAGCGAUGACCUCCAGAAGGACACUGAGAUAAGGGUCCUAGCCCUAAGGGGUGCAGCAGCUGCGAAAAUUCUACAAUGCACGAAAGUGUGAUAGGGUAAUCCCUCGUGCUUACCGAGAGGUAGGCUUUUUUUAUGUGUAAGGAGCAUAAAGAAUAAGUGGUGGGCAAGACUGGUGCCAGCAGCCGCGGUAAUACCAGCGCCACAAGUGGAGAUCACGAUUAUUGGGUCUAAAGUGUUCGUAGCCGGCCUACUAAGUUUCUUGUGAAAUCUCUGUACUUAACAUGGAGACUGCAAGAAAUACUGGUAUGGCUUGAGACCGGGAGAGGUAAGAAGUAUUGAUUGGGUAACGGUAAAAUGUUAUAAUCCUUUCAAGACUAACUAAAGCGAAGGCAUCUUACUAGAACGGAUCUGACGGUGAGGAACGAGAGCCAGGGGAGCAAACCGGAUUAGAUACCCGGGUAGUCCUGGCCGUAAACGCUGCGGGUUACGCUCUGCUAAAUUUACGAGACUUAGCGGGGGGGUAGCGAAGGCAUUAAACCCGCCACCUGGGAAGUACAGCCGCAAGGCCGAAACUUAAAGGAAUUGCCGGGGGAGUACUACAAGCGGUGCGGCGUGCUGUUUAAUUUAAUUUUACACAGAGCAACUCACCAAGGGCGACAGCAGGAUGAAGGUCAGAUUAAAGGUUUUACCUGACACGCUGAGAGGUACUGCAUGGCCGUCGUCAGCUCGUGCCGUAAGGUGUCCUCUUAGGUGAGGAAACGAGCAAGACCUAUGCCCAUAAUUGCUAUUUGGGUCGACCAAAGCACUUUAUGGGGACUGCAAUGGAAACAUUGAGGAAGGUGUAGGCUAUGAUAGGUCUGUAUAGUCCGAAUCUCUUGGGCUACGAGCGCGCAACAAUGAUAAGGACAAUGAGCUGCGACUCCGAAAGGGGUAGCUAAUCUCGAAACCUUAUCUCAGUUUAGAUUGAGGUUUGUAACUCAACCUCAUGACACCGGAAUCGCUAGUAACCGGGUAUUAUCAGUGCCCGGUGAAUAUGUCCAUUCUCCUUGGACACACUGCCCGUCAAGCCAACCAAGUAGGGUUAAGACGAGGUGUUCUUAAAUGAGGACAUCAAGUCUUAGCUUUGUGAGGGGGGUUAAGUCGGCACAAGGUA
This 1412-nucleotide ribosomal RNA is filed under the name metagenome. RNAcentral describes it as "bacterial SSU rRNA". It matches the Rfam family "Archaeal small subunit ribosomal RNA". The record is from RNAcentral.